UGCCAGACUCCUACGGGAGGCAGCAGUGAGGAAUAUUGGUCAAUGGUCGGGAGACUGAACCAGCCAAGCCGCGUGAGGGAAUAAGGCCCUACGGGUCGUAAACCUCUUUUGCCGGGGAGCAAGGGCGGGGACGUGUCCCGGCCCGGAGAGUACCCGGAGAAAAAGCAUCGGCUAACUCCGUGCCAGCAGCCGCGGUAAUACGGAGGAUGCGAGCGUUAUCCGGAUUUAUUGGGUUUAAAGGGUGCGUAGGCGGGCUUUUAAGUCAGCGGUAAAAAUUCGGGGCGCAACCCCGUCCGGCCGUUGAAACUGGGGGCCUUGAGUGGGCGAGAAGAAGGCGGAAUGCGUGGUGUAGCGGUGAAAUGCAUAGAUAUCGCGCAGAACUCCGAUUGCGAAGGCAGCAUGCCGGCUCCACACUGACGCUGAGGCACGAAAGCGUGGGUAUCGAACAGGAUUAGAUACCCCAGUAC
Molecule: ribosomal RNA, 467 nt
Filed under: uncultured bacterium
Lineage: Bacteria
Description: bacterial SSU rRNA
Rfam family: Bacterial small subunit ribosomal RNA
Source: RNAcentral